Molecule: ribosomal RNA, 252 nt
Filed under: uncultured bacterium
Lineage: Bacteria
Description: partial 16S ribosomal RNA
Rfam family: Bacterial small subunit ribosomal RNA
Source: RNAcentral
CAAACGGGUGAGUAACACGUAAACAACCUGCCUUCAGGAUGGGGACAACAGACGGAAACGACUGCUAAUACCGAAUAAGUUCCAAGGGCCGCAUGGCCCAUGGAAGAAAAGGUGGCCUCUACCUGUAAGCUAUCGCCUGAAGAGGGGUUUGCGUCUGAUUAGCUGGUUGGAGGGGUAACGGCCCACCAAGGCGACGACGGGUAGCCGGUCUGAGAGGACGGCCGGCCACAGGGGCACUGAGACACGGGCCCC